RNAcentral lists this ribosomal RNA (440 nucleotides) under uncultured bacterium. Its description in RNAcentral is "partial 16S ribosomal RNA". It matches the Rfam family "Bacterial small subunit ribosomal RNA", at positions 338 to 795 of the family's 1533-position model. The record is from RNAcentral.
CCUACGGGAGGCAGCAGUGGGGAAUAUUGCACAAUGGGGGAAACCCUGAUGCAGCGACGCCGCGUGAGUGAAGAAGUAUUUCGGUAUGUAAAGCUCUAUCAGCAGGGAAGAAAAUGACGGUACCUGACUAAGAAGCCCCGGCUAACUACGUGCCAGCAGCCGCGGUAAUACGUAGGGGGCAAGCGUUAUCCGGAUUUACUGGGUGUAAAGGGAGCGUAGACGGCAGCACAAGUCUGAAGUGAAAGGCCGGGGCUUAACCCCGGAACUGCUUUGGAAACUGUGCAGCUAGAGUGCAGGAGAGGUAAGUGGAAUUCCUAGUGUAGCGGUGAAAUGCGUAGAUAUUAGGAGGAACACCAGUGGCGAAGGCGGCUUACUGGACAGUAACUGACGUUGAGGCUCGAAAGCGUGGGGAGCAAACAGGAUUAGAUACCCCAGUAGUC